Molecule: ribosomal RNA, 371 nt
Filed under: uncultured Pseudomonas sp.
Lineage: Bacteria; Pseudomonadati; Pseudomonadota; Gammaproteobacteria; Pseudomonadales; Pseudomonadaceae
Description: bacterial SSU rRNA
Rfam family: Bacterial small subunit ribosomal RNA
Source: RNAcentral
GGUCUUCGGACUGGGAGCGUACACAGGUGCUGCAUGGCUGUCGUCAGCUCGUGUCGUGAGAUGUUGGGUUAAGCCCCGCAACCGAGCGCAACCCCUGCUGCCAGUUGCCAACGGGUAGGAGCCGGGCACUCUGGCGGGACUGCCAUCGACAGAUGGAGGAAGUGGGGAUGACGUCAAGUCAUCGUGGCCCUUACGGCCUGGGCUACACACGUGCUACAAUGGUCGGUACAAAGGGUUGCCAAGCCGCGAGGUGGAGCUAAUCCCAUAAAACCGAUCGUAGUCCGGAUCGCAGUCUGCAACUCGACUGCGUGAAGUCGGAAUCGCUAGUAAUCGUGAAUCAGAAUGUCACGGUGAAUACGUUCCCGGGCCUU